Solanum pennellii is the source of this 1075-nucleotide long non-coding RNA. RefSeq lists it as uncharacterized. The record is from RefSeq and is a predicted model, not a curated record. NCBI's taxonomy places the organism in Eukaryota, Viridiplantae, Streptophyta, Magnoliopsida, Solanales, Solanaceae. The transcript has 2 exons.
UCUCAAAAAAAAAGAAUCCACAACCGUCUCCCUCAGCAGUUAGUAAAACUAAAGAAUUUUCAGCACGUCAAAUCGUCUUCACAAUGUGAUCGGCGGAGAAAUGCAUGAAAACCAAUAAGCCACCCCGUAAAAGCUCUAUCAUCCCAAAUUGCACCUCACUGUUCUUCACUUCAGCAAAAGGCAACAAGCGGUGCGAGACGAAAUAAAAAUUCACGCGUCUUUUUCCCUCUCCUCUGCCUACUCGUAAUAAGAUUUUUAACAGCGAUUGCAGCACACAGAUUCAUCCUUCUAUCAAGAGAUCAAUCCACGUCACCCCCAAGGACUUGAAUCGAUUAUACCAGUCUAUCCCCUUACCCCUUUCGAUUUGAGUUGAUUUUUUCAGAGAAAAUGUUGUUCAUCCAAAAAGGAAAAAUGUUUUGAAAUACGAAUUGCUAAUGGGCCUUUUGCUAUCCGAAAUUUUGGUCCGUUUCCCCCAAAUACAAGCAACAAUCUCUGGGUAUAUAUAAUCCGUUUCUUUUACUGUUGGAGGGGGGAAAACGAGAUCAGAUUAGAAAUAUUUGGACAAGAAAUCUUUUAGAAAGAAUAUCUUAAGCAGGUAGUCUUGAAAAAAAGAUAUACAUUCAAAAAGAAAAAGGGAGCCUCUUGUUUGCUACUUCGUGAUUGUGUGGUGGAGCUCGUUGUUGUCUUUCAAAGCUCGUCUCUUUGCUCGUUGUCUUACUCCGGUGCACUCGAAAAGAUCGCCGAGAACUCAUUUUCCUUUGCAUUUCGGAUAGGACAUAAAGGCCCAAAUAUAUUUUGUUUCAUCUCGAGUCGGCCAAUUAAAAUGCGAUGUACAAGAUUUGGAGUUGAAAUGGCGUGAAGCAAGUCAAAGAUAUCCAAAGAUUGGGUCAAUAGCCCAUUCCUUUUUCUAGUUAUUUUAGUAUUUUUGUUAUUUUUGAGCCUAAGAUCUUUUCCUUUUUGUUAUUUAAUGUUGUUAGAAUUUCAGAAUAGGUACAUAUCGAAUGGGCCUAAUUCCUUCAAAACAAUAAUGGUCCAACUACAGGUCCAGGCAAACGGAAACCGAAUUUGGACCAAA